ACAACCUUCUCUUCAUUCUUCUUUACAUUUAUAGUGUGGGCAAAGAGAAUCAAUUCAUUAGACUUAGCGCAGCCAGGGGCCUAUUUGGCCCACUUUAAGUAAAUGUGCUGCUGAGUCUGUCUAAAAUGUAAAAUUCCAUGCUUAAUUAUUUUUAAAAAAUCCCUUCUUGCUUUGCUUCUUGGCAAGUGCAAGUGUCAGUCUAUUAAUAGUACUUUGCCUUGAACAACAAUCAUCUGACAGUUGUCUAGAUGAAAGAUUUGAGGUGAUAGAUCUAUACUACAUAAUUUUUCAUAAUUUUUCACCCCUGACCAUAAGCCUUUGCACCUUGUAUCCUUUGAUUGCUUUAAAGUUAGUCUCAAAAGACAUGAUGGAGUUUCUGUUCUAACUAAGUAUUAGGGGGAAAACAGUAGCUCUGCUUCCUUCAAACUGGGAAACUUCUGUUAAUCUCUCAAUUUAUUAUACAGUAGUCUCACCUUUAUCACUUAUUCUGUACAUAAAUAGUAAAUUAGCACUUAGAGGAAAGUUAAAGUAACAGUUCUGCAUUUGAUGUCACAAUUAGUUCAACAGUCAUGAAUCAACUCAAAUUUUAUUAUCAUUUGUUCUGUUGAACAAGAAGGCAACCAUAUUUCCAUUACUGGCUGUAGUUUAUUUUUUCUAAGUUCUCCUAUGCAGCUUCAGAAACAAUGUCAAGAGAGCCAAAAUCCUCUUGAAACUCAGAUUUUAUCAUGGCACUAAUAAAAUAAUUCAAGACCUGUGGCUAAGGAGAGGAAGUAAAUGUUGCUAUAAUACUUACAAAGUUCCAAACUCUAUGUCACUACUAAUGAAUUCUUCCAACAGGCUUGUAUCCACCAUGGGAUUUUCCAAGGCUCCAUGGACAUCUUGCCCUAAGGUCGAAAGUAAAAAAGACAGAAAUUCAGAGGGAAUUGUCAGUGUUUCAGAAUAAGUGAUGCUGCUGAUGGUCCUACACAAAGGAAAACAAAAUCUGUCCUGUCCCAUGUGUUAAAAAAGAAUUAUGCUUCUGGUUUAGUCACUCUGGGAAAAAGGAUGAUGAGUAAUGCAGAGUAAUUAACUAUGUGCAGGGGCACUGCAGAUGACAGUGCAGCACCAGGACAACACCACUGAAUGCAUGGCAUUAAGGCUUCAGGGAAUUACUCCAGCAGAAGGAUGAAAGACCCCAGUCUGCAACUGAGAAAAAGGGUUUUGAAACUUUUUUACAUUGAGAUCUUGGGUUGAAGCUCAGACAUUCUCUUACACAGAUCCACUUGGUGCAUUAAUGCUCACAAAUACUGCAAGUGAGUUUCUGAUAUAGAACUCCAUUUUAAAAUCUACCAUCUGAGUUUAAAUAAAGCCCAAAUAAAGCUUAAAAAAUGUUUGAUUGGUGGCUUCCUUUUAUUCUGCCUAAAAAAACCGGCCCGCUAACGUGUUAAAUGUAUUAGCAAAUAGAAAGGUUCAGUACUUUGUCCUUUGUUGCUUAGUAACUUAAGGCUAUAAACAGAUUUUAUGAUUAUAAAGUUUCCGGUAUUCAUGACAACUUUUGUAGAAAGUCAACGGGCACUCAUUUAAAAACCCAGCCAAGGAGCCCUACUCUGCAGGUUCCCCCAGUCUGCAGCAGGCCUUCCAUAAAUGCAGGUGUGGCCAGUCGGAAUGCAAACAAGAUAAGGACCUUGGCAUUCCUGCUUGAGCUGCAAGUGCCUCUGUCCCACUUUACACGUUAUUAAAUAGACCAGCCCACACAGCCAGAGAUGUGAGGCUCAGCCCUGGAAUCUGACACCAACCAUGUCCCUCCCGCUCAGCAGCAGUGUGUGAGAACACAAAAGGUUAAUCUCUGCCUCUGAGCCAAGGAGUAGUUACUGCCCUUGGUGCAUUUGCUGUCUUCUCACUGUGCUACCUUGCAUAGGACACUUACCCUAAUAUAUCUUCAGUUCCUUUUCUGAUGUCUUUGUCUGAUGCUGUACCUUCUUGAUCCAGUAUUUAGAAAGGACAUUCAUGCAAGCAGAAUCUAAAAAUCUACCACCUUGCACAGGACUCCCUCAGUACAUAAAUCCACACUGCUAAUAAACAUUUCCCAAAUUUCUUUGUGAUCGUAGAUUAAUCUAUGUAUUGUUUAUUUUUGGUGCUGCAGGCUUCAUUUUGACUGCCUUUCACUGAGGGAUAGCAACUUGGAGGUGUGCUACUGAUAGAUCCUUGCAUCUCAAUUUACUGAUGUUGUAUACAGAACUGUGCCACGCACACCAGACAAGAGAUUCAAUAGGUGCAGCCCACUAGCUUAUCUCAGCAAAACUGCAACACACAAAUUCUGGAAGCAGCAGCG
RNAcentral lists this long non-coding RNA (2311 nucleotides) under Taeniopygia guttata (zebra finch). RNAcentral describes it as "lncRNA (ENSTGUG00000020105.1)". The record is from RNAcentral. Lineage: Eukaryota; Metazoa; Chordata; Aves; Passeriformes; Estrildidae.